CCAACAGAUUCCAUGCAAUAUGACCCCAUGCACUGCAAUAUUUCUUGGGAGAAGCUUCACAGACAGCAUCCUGGCAGUUACUGCAGCAGUUGUUCAUCUCCAUGAAAAACAUCCAGGCCAGUUGUAGGACAGAAGACAUUAUUUAACAUCUCAGAGAAUGCAGCAAAUAUGGGCAGAAAAGAGGGAAGAGGUGGAAGAUAGAAAGAGAGGAGCUAGUGGAGCUUUCCAGAGCUUUCCCUUGCCUGAUUGCCGAUUUAUACAUGGCCUGCUUCUCCCUUUUGUUUUUACAAUGUGCUUUUAAAAAAGAAUGAAUAAAGGCAGCUCUGCACAUCUUUUCUUAUCUUCCUUCUAGAAACAAAUAUGUCCAAAAGCUUGGCAACAGUAGUCCAAGGAUAAAUCACCUUGUUUUACAGGACUUUGCAGAACCAGCUGCCUACUAAUGGUCAGUUUGAUAGAACCAUUAAUGGGAAAAUCCCAUGUACUACCAAGAAUUCAGGAAAACUUUUUCAUCAGAUAUGGUGCAGAGUGCAUUUUAUUGCAAAAUAUCUUUGUCCUUAAUGAAGCAGGGACAAUAUUGCAAACAACUGGUAUUCCAAUUGCUAAUAAAAAAUUGUCUUGGGGAUCAAAAUCAGAGAUAAAUAUGUAGGUAUUCAUAUUAACCAGCUUCUGGCAGCAUAACAGAGUUGCCACAAACAACAUCAAACUCAGUAUAUCCAGGGAACCUGUGUCAAGAAAAUAAUUCCAUUUUAAAAUAGCAGAUAUCACAUCUUCAUCACUGAAAUGUCAAAAUAUUUGAACUAAGAAAAUGUAAAUAUUAAUGGAUUAAACUAACCUGCCAAGUUGCAGUUGGAGAGCAUUCCAAGUAGGAAGAUGGUGAGUUUCACCAAAAAGUAAAGGCUUGAAUUAUGGACUUUUAAAAAUUUAUUUGUUCAAAACUGAAGUUUUGUGCCAUGUGUAAUCAAUUUCUGGUUGUCUUUCAUUGCGCUAAAGUACUAGGAAAAUUUCUGUCAGCAUUAAGAUUAACCUGAAGAAUUUAUACACAUGGAUAUUUAUUCUUAAAUAACUACUUUUGAUUAAUUGCUUUCAAUUAUCUUCCUGUGUAGGUGCUCUUAUAGGAAAUAUGUGUCUAAUUUUGGAUGUGGUAGCUAUUACACACACUUUACAUGUCUCACCACAGUAUAGAUUAACUUUCUGUGUAGACAAAAGUAUAUUUUCUAUUUUAUAACCCUUUAAAGGUAAACUUAAUGUCAAAAUCAUAAUCCUUGAAGGGCCUAGUAAUAUCCACCACAAGAGAUGGAGCUGGAAGAAACAGAAAA
Molecule: non-coding RNA, 1316 nt
Organism: Cyanistes caeruleus (blue tit)
Lineage: Eukaryota; Metazoa; Chordata; Aves; Passeriformes; Paridae
Source: RefSeq, a predicted model, not a curated record